RNAcentral lists this transfer RNA (78 nucleotides) under compost metagenome. RNAcentral's name for it is "tRNA-Met". It matches the Rfam family "tRNA". From Rfam's summary of the family: Transfer RNA (tRNA) molecules are approximately 80 nucleotides in length. Their secondary structure includes four short double-helical elements and three loops (D, anti-codon, and T loops). The record is from RNAcentral.
UGCGGGGUAGAGCAGCCUGGUAGCUCGCAAGGCUCAUAACCUUGAGUGUCGCUGGUUCAAAUCCAGCUCCCGCAACCA